Molecule: long non-coding RNA, 849 nt
Organism: Gavialis gangeticus (Gharial)
Lineage: Eukaryota; Metazoa; Chordata; Crocodylia; Gavialidae
Exons: 2
Source: RefSeq, a predicted model, not a curated record
UAAAACUUAUGAUUCAGGGCUCCUCUGUCCAUUCCCUUCAUCGUCUUCUUGCAGAACUGGGUUCUUGUCUGUCUCUGAACAAUGUCUUGCAACACUGAUCCCUGCACCGAAGGGCGCCCAUCGCCGUGCGAGGUGAAAUGCCCACAACCUAUUGUGACCAGCACCAAUGAGGCAUGCGUUGUGUCCUGUGGAGACUCCCGAGUGAUUAUAUACCCACCACCUGUCAUUGUGACCUUCCCAGGACCCAUCCUCAGCACAUGUCCUCAGGAAAGUUUGGUGGGGGCGGCUGUUCCCUGCGAGUCAGGGGUGCCUCAGUCAGGGACGACGGUGCCCUUGACGUCCGAAAUCGGGGGGAGCUCGGGGUUCUCUGUGCCUUUGAGGUCCGAAAUUGGGGGGAACUCAGGGUUUUCUGUGCCUUUGAGGUCUGAAAUCACGGGGAACUCGGGGUUCUCUGCUGAGAGAUUGUAUCUGAACCACGAACCUGAGCAACCUUCCACCUACAUGUACUCCUUCACUUCCCAAUGGAGACAUCCUUGCAAUAGACCACGUUGGAACAGAUAUCAGUCCUCUUACAUGAAGAAGGAAGAGCCAGAGGAGGAGGAAAAACCAAAGGAGUGGCAUGUAGACACAGAGGAGUCCUCGUGAGCAUAGCUUGCACAAGGUUUGAACAUCUACAGCUCUAAAGGCAGCCAGAGCUGUAGGGAUUCAACACCUCCUGACAACACAUUUAGGUUUGUCUCUCUCAGGUUACACUUCACUUUAGAUUUAGGCUCUUUCCCCCAAGGGCUUCCCAGAAAUGUGAUUAAACAGUCAUUAACACUGCAAGACUGAUUCCUUGAAUCACAGAAU